RNAcentral lists this transfer RNA (55 nucleotides) under Nesophlox lyrura (Inaguan woodstar). RNAcentral describes it as "tRNA-Ser". Lineage: Eukaryota; Metazoa; Chordata; Aves; Apodiformes; Trochilidae. The record is from RNAcentral.
CUGCCGAGGGGAGGUCUAAACCAACAAGAACUGCUAACUCUCGCAUCUGAGUCUA